This 1160-nucleotide ribosomal RNA is filed under the name Pantoea dispersa. RNAcentral's name for it is "bacterial SSU rRNA". It matches the Rfam family "Bacterial small subunit ribosomal RNA", at positions 100 to 1257 of the family's 1533-position model. The record is from RNAcentral. Lineage: Bacteria; Pseudomonadati; Pseudomonadota; Gammaproteobacteria; Enterobacterales; Erwiniaceae.
GGACGGGUGAGUAAUGUCUGGGAAACUGCCCGAUGGAGGGGGAUAACUACUGGAAACGGUAGCUAAUACCGCAUAACGUCGCAAGACCAAAGUGGGGGACCUUCGGGCCUCACACCAUCGGAUGUGCCCAGAUGGGAUUAGCUAGUAGGUGGGGUAAUGGCUCACCUAGGCGACGAUCCCUAGCUGGUCUGAGAGGAUGACCAGCCACACUGGAACUGAGACACGGUCCAGACUCCUACGGGAGGCAGCAGUGGGGAAUAUUGCACAAUGGGCGCAAGCCUGAUGCAGCCAUGCCGCGUGUAUGAAGAAGGCCUUCGGGUUGUAAAGUACUUUCAGCGGGGAGGAAGGCGGUGAGGUUAAUAACCUUGGCAAUUGACGUUACCCGCAGAAGAAGCACCGGCUAACUCCGUGCCAGCAGCCGCGGUAAUACGGAGGGUGCAAGCGUUAAUCGGAAUUACUGGGCGUAAAGCGCACGCAGGCGGUCUGUUAAGUCAGAUGUGAAAUCCCCGGGCUUAACCUGGGAACUGCAUUUGAAACUGGCAGGCUUGAGUCUCGUAGAGGGGGGUAGAAUUCCAGGUGUAACGGUGAAAUGCGUAGAGAUCUGGAGGAAUACCGGUGGCGAAGGCGGCCCCCUGGACGAAGACUGACGCUCAGGUGCGAAAGCGUGGGGAGCAAACAGGAUUACAUACCCUGGUAGUCCACGCCGUAAACGAUGUCGACUUGGAGGUUGUGCCCUUGAGGCGUGGCUUCCGGAGCUAACGCGUUAAGUCGACCGCCUGGGGAGUACGGCCGCAAGGUUAAAACUCAAAUGAAUUGACGGGGGCCCGCACAAGCGGUGGAGCAUGUGGUUUAAUUCGAUGCAACGCGAAGAACCUUACCUGGCCUUGACAUCCAGAGAACUUAGCAGAGAUGCUUUGGUGCCUUCGGGAACUCUGAGACAGGUGCUGCAUGGCUGUCGUCAGCUCGUGUUGUGAAAUGUUGGGUUAAGUCCCGCAACGAGCGCAACCCUUAUCCUUUGUUGCCAGCGGUUCGGCCGGGAACUCAAAGGAGACUGCCGGUGAUAAACCGGAGGAAGGUGGGGAUGACGUCAAGUCAUCAUGGCCCUUACGGCCAGGGCUACACACGUGCUACAAUGGCGCAUACAAAGAGAAGCGACCUCG